CCCAGAUCCCCAAGCUCUUCUCGUACUGCUGAGGAUGACAGCUUCGGCUCCAGGAAGAUGAGAUCUUCUUUUGGACGGGGAUUCUUCAAGAUUAAGGGAGGGAAGAGGACUGCUAGUGCCCCUAAUUUGGCUGAGACGGAGAGGGACGGCACUGACCAUCUGGAUCUGGCAGGCAUGCCGCAGAGGUCAGCUGACAGUGACAGCACACACACUCUCCCCCAUUUCUCCGGAGGAGAAA
Molecule: long non-coding RNA, 238 nt
Organism: Cyprinus carpio (common carp)
Lineage: Eukaryota; Metazoa; Chordata; Actinopteri; Cypriniformes; Cyprinidae
Exons: 2
Source: RefSeq, a predicted model, not a curated record